GCAGUACCUCGGUCCCCCGUCACCUCUGCAGCGCAGUUUCCCUUCCGGGCAGGCGAAACGCGCACUCCACCACCUCCCCGGUUCCCCGCAAGCUCCUGACGUCCUGAACGCGCACAGUUCUUCCGACGUACUGCAUGAGAUCACGAGAACAAGCAGCCAAAUCUCAUUCCUCCAGGAACAACUCUACUCACUCUAGGACCUAUGGAUAGAAUCCUGGGAGGACAGGCCAAUGCCAGCAGAAAAAGGAUCCAAUCCAGGAUAUCGGAUUGAACUGUCAGGUCUCCUUCCUAUUCUCUAACCUGUGACAGUUUUUGAGCCUUUUCAUGGCUUUCUUCGCCUUCAAAUGUUUGAAAAGUACUGGCCAGUUCUGGAGAUUGGGAAAUCCAAGGACAAAGGGCUGCAUCUGGAGAGGGCCUUUGUGCUGCCAUCCCACGGUGGAAGAUAACCAAAGAUGAAGAGAAAGUCUCCAAGAAGCUGAUAUGUAAGAGCGGAGGGCCAUGAAGCAUAGAAAAACAAGGAUAAGAAUUAUAUCAAACUUCUAAUCAGAAAUCAUGCAAGCAAGAAGAGAAUGGAAUGAAAUAUUUGAAGAGUUGUUUGAAAAAACUCACCCAUCUAGAAUUUUAUUUUUAUUUUUUUCCAAGCCAGACUGUAUCCAGCUUUAUUAAAUAUAAUUUCCACAAGCAGUCAUGGUAUUUCAGGCAGGACAUGGCCAGACAUUCGUUAAAAAUAUACAACUUUCAAACUGCCUUCUUCAAUGGACUACUGAAAAUCAAAAAGCCACUAUAAAACCCAAUGAAGUCUUCAUCUGAUGCUCUGAACAGGGAAAAUUUAGAGUAAGGGUUGACAUUUCACAUAUAGCAUGUGGUUUAACAACUUUUCACAAGCCAACCUGGACUUUCAGGAAGUGAAAUGAAAAUAGCAGAAGUGAUCUGAAGAUCCAUAAUCUAGAAACGGAAACACUGCUCUUUUGAGGAGUACCAUGUCAGUGGCAUCACUGGAAAGUUCAGAUUGCCUGACACUGGCAACCAAUUGUUGGGGGUCAGGUCCCAACAGAUGUCUGGGUUUAAGGGAGUUAAUUCUAUGCCGGAAGGUGGAAAGGAAGAAGAGGACAUAAAAACAAAUUUGUUUUUCCAUACCACAAGGCUUUUGUGCCAAGGUGGCCAUGUGUGUCAAAGUCAGGGAAUCCUUCCUACUGGGAGCCAAGAGGAAGUCUUUCAAAACUAGAAGGGAAAGGUGCUUUGCCCACAUCAAUCCAGCUUUGGAGACAUUGUAUUAGUGACAUAUUCCCCUUCCCCCCAAAACAGCAAAGUGUUCUGCAUGCUAACAACUUAGCUUAAAAAGAUAGUAAAACAAAAUUCUGCAUUUUUAGAAAACUUGAUACAAUAGUACUUCAAACCAUACAGUAAUCAGAAGUACCUAGUUAUCAAAAAUGCAGACACUUCACUUGGCAUCUCCAGCACCUUCAGCUUUCUGUGCCUGGUCUGUUUGGCAUCUCCAUUUUAUGCAGGGUUAUUUCCCUCUUUGCCAGCAUCAGCUACCCACCCCCCACACCGUUUUUCUUUUCUUUGAGAUAGAGUCUUGCUCUGUUGCCCAAGCUGGAGUGCAGUGGUGCGAUCUUGGCUAACUGCAACUUUUGCCUCUCGGGUUCAAGUGAUUCUCCUGCCUUAGCCUCCCUAGCAGCUGGGGUUACAGGCAUGUGCCACCAUGUCUAGCUAAGUUUUGUAUUUUCAGUAGACACAGAGUUUCAUCAUGUUGGCCAGGCUGGUCUCAAACUCCUGAUCUUAAGUGAUCCACUGGCCUUGGCCUCCCAAAGUGCUGGGGUUAUGGGUAUGAGCCACCAUGCCCAGGUCCCUUUUUCCCUCUGGGUACCUUCUCUCCUUUCUUCACAGGGGCCUUUUUAGGCUUGGGCUCUGGCUUUGGAGGAGCAGGUUUAGCAGACAGCCUCAUGGACUACAUCUUCUCUGUAAUUUGUCCUUCACCUGGGCUUUAUCUCUAGCAUCUCCUUUAGCCUUUCUCUUGGGAAUGGUGGCAGCCAUGGUGGUGGGACAUAGGUGCUGGGGCAGGAUGCAGCAGGCUUUGGUCAGUCCACUGGUGGUUCUUGCCUCUUCUUAUUCACGCUGCUUCCAGAAUUUUAUAUUCAGCAAAAUUAUUCUUCUAAAAUGAAGGAGAAAUACUUUCUUGGACCAAUAAAAGCUGAAAAAAAAUUUUACCACCAGAUAUUCCUUGCAAGAAAUGUUACAAGAAGUUUUCAGGCAGAAGGAAAAUGAUAUAGGCAAGAAAAUUGGAUCUAUAUAAAGAAUGGAAGGGUGUUGGUAAAGAAAUAAACAAAGGGUCUGUUCAAGAUGAGAAGCAUCCUUAUCUCCCGUGGGCUUGGAAAGAAGGCAGAAUGGUGGGCCCAACCCAGAUCUACUUAAGCAGAAUCUUCAUUUUAACAUGAUCCUCUGAGAAAACUGGAAAAAGACUACAAAAUAAACAGGAAGGACUUAAAGUUUAUGAAAUAGAAAAAGAUAAAGGAUCAAUAUGACUAAAAGCUAGUUUUUCAAAAGGAC
Molecule: non-coding RNA, 2549 nt
Organism: Callithrix jacchus (white-tufted-ear marmoset)
Lineage: Eukaryota; Metazoa; Chordata; Mammalia; Primates; Cebidae
Source: RefSeq, a predicted model, not a curated record